UAGACGGAUAACUACACUACACGUGUAGUGGU
RNAcentral lists this non-coding RNA (32 nucleotides) under Mus musculus (house mouse). The record is from RNAcentral. Lineage: Eukaryota; Metazoa; Chordata; Mammalia; Rodentia; Muridae.